GGAAGGAUCAUUGUCGUUUCCUUAGAUGACAGACCCGCGAACAAGUUAUCAUUGCUUUCUUCAAGCCGRGCGGAGCAUCGUUUCCCACGGGACAKGGUGAUCYGUUCUGCUUCUUGGCAUGUGCCCGUCUUUUUGCCAUCCCCUUUGUGGUCGAUUGCUUGAGCGGUGUACUGCCAAAACAACAAAACCGGCGCUUUUAAGUGUCAAGGAUCAUUKAUUGAAUGAAAGGGGGACAUCCCGCCACAAAAUGAGUGGGGGGAGAAGUGCCCCUUUGCCUUCUAACAAGAACGACUCUCGGCAACGGAUAUCUUGGCUCCYGUCACGAUGAAGAACGUAGCGAAAUGCGAUAGUUGGUGUGAAUUGCAGAAUCCCGUGAAUCAUCGAGUUUUUGAACGCAAGUUGCGCCCGAGGCCAUUCGGCCAAGGGCACGUYUGCCUGGGCGUCACGCUUAGCGUCGCCCUCCCCAGGUCCUCGUGUUUUCGAACCGAGGCCGAGGGAGAGCGGAGGACUGGCCUUCGGUGUCGCUUUCRUCGGCGUCGUCGGCUGAAACUUUCGGCUCACGAUCUGUUGUGCRGCACAACAAGCGGUGGAUUUCCAGUGAGUUGUUGUGYUUCRCGUGGUCAAAGGGCCAUGGGACUCGAGGCAAGGAUMUCAUUUUCUUGCCUUAGCUUUGCGACCCCAGGUCAG
RNAcentral lists this small RNA (687 nucleotides) under Nymphaea odorata subsp. tuberosa. Its description in RNAcentral is "eukaryotic LSU rRNA". The stretch from base 290 to 445 matches the Rfam family "5.8S ribosomal RNA". Lineage: Eukaryota; Viridiplantae; Streptophyta; Magnoliopsida; Nymphaeales; Nymphaeaceae. The record is from RNAcentral.